Molecule: long non-coding RNA, 184 nt
Organism: Oxyura jamaicensis (ruddy duck)
Lineage: Eukaryota; Metazoa; Chordata; Aves; Anseriformes; Anatidae
Exons: 5
Source: RefSeq, a predicted model, not a curated record
GAAGCUGUGGAUGCUCCAUCCCUUGAGGUGUUCAAGGCCAGGCUGGAUGGGGCUGUGGGCAACCUGGUCUGGUGGGAGGUGUCCCUGCCCAUGGCAGGGGGGUUGGAAAUGGGUGGUCUUUAGAGUCUCUUCCAACACAAAACAUUCUGUAACUCUAAAAUAUCAAAGUCAGCAAACAAGCAAA